This is a non-coding RNA of Capsicum annuum, 106 nucleotides long. The record is from Rfam. NCBI's taxonomy places the organism in Eukaryota, Viridiplantae, Streptophyta, Magnoliopsida, Solanales, Solanaceae.
AUCUCAUGGUUUGGGCAUUUGUAAAGCUUCCUAUGAAAUCUCUCCCAUACUUCAUGAAUUGACUCCCCGUUCCUUUGUCUAAAAUUAACAAUUUCAUCUCUUAGUU